This 894-nucleotide long non-coding RNA is filed under the name Numida meleagris (helmeted guineafowl). RNAcentral's name for it is "lncRNA (ENSNMEG00000008624.1)". Lineage: Eukaryota; Metazoa; Chordata; Aves; Galliformes; Numididae. The record is from RNAcentral.
AUGGGAAAAGCUGUGAGGAGAGGUUCCUCGUGUGCCAGGUGCUUGUUAACGUGCUGCACUACUGCCUUCUCUGUGAGGCUGUGGUGCAGCAGAUCCUCAUGCAGAUUGGUGGAGGACUGGAAACAAAGGGGGGAAUCGGAGGAAGAAGUUGUGGAAAAGGAAAAGAUCAAACAUUCCCUAAAGUGUGGUAGAAGGCAGGAAGAAUGACACUUGCUAAUUUGAAUUUCAGAACACACCUAAACCGCAUUCUGAUCUCCAGCACCCCACCUCUUGGAGCAUUUGACCAGCUUGCAGAAAACUGUUCUUCAGUUCUAUAAAUUUAAAUCUGCCUUUCUCGCCUUUGAAGACAGUGCCCUAUUACUGCCCUUGUUUGAAAAGAAGACUACUCCUUCUUUUGGAGUUCCUCUGCUUACAAGAAGCCCUUCAAAACUUGCUGAGCCAGAGGCGAGUUGGGUGCUUCCUCUGCCCAUCAAGGCAUCACCUGGGAGGAGAACCACCUGUAAGUAGUCAUCUUCAUGAGAGAUCCUCUAGAGUCAAGAAGGAUGGCUUUAAAUCAUCACCAGCAGAAAGGGGUAGGUAGAACCAGAGCUCUCCCAGGUCUACUGACUGUGCUGCCUACAAAGUGAUACAUGCAGUCAGAGGCUGUGGAUUGUCUUAUGGUUUGUGGUUUGAGUUCCUUAAGAGAAGGUUUUGUAUUUUUUAUUUAUGAUCUGGAGAUUUUAAAGCCCCAGAGUGGGAUGGGAUUUAGUGGUGACAUCUUGUUCUGAGUACUUCCCAUCAGCCAGUCCUGAGCAGAUCCUACUGAGUGUGCUGCUUUUGAUGAUUUCCUACUGUCUUUCUGUAAAUCAGUGCUAGACCCACAUCUUUAAAACUACCAAUAGAUUGGGUAUCCCC